ACUCAAAUGAAUUGACGGGGACCCGCACAAGCGGUGGAGCAUGUGGAUUAAUUCGAUACUAACCGAAGAACCUUACCCAGGUUUGACAUCGAUCGUAAGCCCCCGAAAUGGGGCCCUCUUCCCAAAAGGAAGACGUGAAGACACUUGUUGCAUGGCUGUCGUCAGCUCGUGCCGUGAGGUGUACGGUUAAGUCCGCCAACGAGCGCAACCCUCGUCCUGUGUUACCAGCAUGAAAGAUGGGAACUCACAGGAGACCGCCGGUGUAAGCCGGAGGAAGGUGAGGAUGAUGUCAAGUCAGCAUGGCAGUUACACCUGGGGCUUCACACAUGCUACAAUGGGCGAAACAAAGGGCAGCAAUACCGUGAGGUGGAGCAAAUCCCAAAAAUACGCCCCCAGUUCAGAUAGUAGUCUGCAACUCGACUACUUGAAGGCGGAAUCGCUAGUAAACGCAGGUCAGCUAUACUGCGUUGAAUACGUUCCCGGGUCUUGUACACACCGCCCGU
RNAcentral lists this ribosomal RNA (503 nucleotides) under uncultured bacterium. Its description in RNAcentral is "partial 16S ribosomal RNA". It matches the Rfam family "Bacterial small subunit ribosomal RNA", at positions 899 to 1397 of the family's 1533-position model. The record is from RNAcentral.